GACGAACGCUGGCGGCGUGCUUAACACAUGCAAGUCGAGCGGUAAGGCCCUUUCGGGGGUACACGAGCGGCGAACGGGUGAGUAACACGUGGGUGACCUGCCCUCAGCUCUGGGAUAAGCCUGGGAAACCGGGUCUAAUACUGGAUAUGACUCCAUGACGCAUGUUGUGGGGUGGAAAGCCUUGUGCGGCUGAGGAUGGGCCCGCGGCCUAUCAGCUUGUUGGUGGGGUGANGGACCUACCAAGGCGACGACGGGUAGCCGGCCUGAGAGGGCGACCGGCCACACUGGGACUGAGACACGGCCCAGACUCCUACGGGAGGCAGCAGUGGGGAAUCUUGCGCAAUGGGCGAAAGCCUGACGCAGCGACGCCGCGUGAGGGA
Molecule: ribosomal RNA, 380 nt
Filed under: uncultured bacterium
Lineage: Bacteria
Description: bacterial SSU rRNA
Rfam family: Bacterial small subunit ribosomal RNA
Source: RNAcentral